RNAcentral lists this long non-coding RNA (979 nucleotides) under Chloebia gouldiae (Gouldian finch). RNAcentral describes it as "Erythrura gouldiae (Gouldian finch) lncRNA (ENSEGOG00005010206.1)". Lineage: Eukaryota; Metazoa; Chordata; Aves; Passeriformes; Passeridae. The record is from RNAcentral.
AAUAACUUCAAAUAAUGUUAAUGAAGCAUUGUUUUAAUUUUGCCUCCAUGAAAAACAAAACAAAGUUGUGUCAUGAAUUAUUCUCUAUUUAAAAUCACUGCCAUCAUAUUAACAAUUUUUUCCCCUUUAGCAGUGGGCUGACAAAAUUCUUUCUCCCUUUUCCUUCCAACAAUAUAAUGUGAGCAUGACAGCAAAACAAAUUGAAACUUCUGCUAAGCAUUUUGCCCAAGACAUGCAUAAACUGCUCUUGUUUCUACUGCAGCUGCAUGUCUUUCCUGGGUAUGACACAUAAAAAUAGGUAAUGUCAAAAUAAACCUGCUAUAUUAAGAACAGUUAGAGAUGUGGAGGUGUCUGACUGGGACUUAAAGCUCAGGUCCUGAGCACUUACAGUCAUUAAAGAUAUUUUUACAGUUUUUUUGUAAAGCAGGAAUGUUAGCACUAAUCACAUGACUAACAUACAAAUUUGAAAAUUACAUCUGACAUCUCCCUAAUUUCCUCUUGCUAUUUAAUUUAAUUCUAGUAUUCAUUACUUUCUUUUUACUUAAAUUGCUCUUUUGUGUUUCUUCUUUGCUGUUAUGGGUGGCUUAGAAAGGAAAAAUAAGUGCGUUGAAAUCUGCUCUUCUCUAUUUUAAACACAAAUUCCUUUUUUCUAUCCUGAUUUUUACAGCUCCCAGGCAUAGGAAGUAUUACUUCCUCUCUCUUGCUUGUUCCCUAAAAAGUUCCAUGAUGGAUGCACAAGAAUGGCUGAGAAAACUUCUCACCACUCAGUUGAAGGGAAUAGGAAAUACUGAAUCCUUAGCAGGUGCCAUAUGCCUGCUGAAACUUCCCUGAAGUCUUCUCAGAAAAGGAUGGAUUAAAAAGCAGCUUCCAGGGGAAAUAUUGCUGCCUGCAUUUUAGACACAGAUGAAGUACAGCAGCGUAUCACAUAUUAAAUGUUACAUUUCACAUGAACACACUUAAACGCAGGACAUCAUAAAGA